RNAcentral lists this ribosomal RNA (484 nucleotides) under uncultured bacterium. Its description in RNAcentral is "partial 16S ribosomal RNA". It matches the Rfam family "Bacterial small subunit ribosomal RNA", at positions 30 to 507 of the family's 1533-position model. The record is from RNAcentral.
AUUGAACGCUGGCGGCAGGCCUAACACAUGCAAGUCGAGCGGAUGAAGGGAGCUUGCUCCUGGAUUCAGCGGCGGACGGGUGAGUAAUGCCUAGGAAUCUGCCUGGUAGUGGGGGAUAACGUCCGGAAACGGGCGCUAAUACCGCAUACGUCCUGAGGGAGAAAGUGGGGGAUCUUCGUACCUCACGCUAUCAGAUGAGCCUAGGUCGGAUUAGCUAGUUGGUGGGGUAAAGGCCUACCAAGGCGACGAUCCGUAACUGGUCUGAGAGGAUGAUCAGUCACACUGGAACUGAGAAACGGUCCAGACUCCUACGGGAGGCAGCAGUGGGGAAUAUUGGACAAUGGGCGAAAGCCUGAUCCAGCCAUGCCGCGUGUGUGAAGAAGGUCUUCGGAUUGUAAAGCACUUUAAGUUGGGAGGAAGGGCAGUAAGUUAAUACCUUGCUGUUUUGACGUUACCAACAGAAUAAGCACCGGCUAACUUCGUG